AUACUUACCUGGACGGGGUCAAUGGGCGAUCAGGAAGGUUCAUGGCCUAGGUAGGUGGCCUCCAUUGCACUUUUGGAGGGGUGCCUGCCUAACAUCUUCCCAAGAGGAAGAGUGUACGUCAUAAUUUGUGAUAGCUGGGGCCUGCGUUCGCGCGGCCCCUAU
Spinacia oleracea (spinach) is the source of this 162-nucleotide non-coding RNA. The record is from Rfam. Lineage: Eukaryota; Viridiplantae; Streptophyta; Magnoliopsida; Caryophyllales; Amaranthaceae.